Molecule: small RNA, 130 nt
Filed under: unclassified sequences
Description: LOOT RNA
Rfam family: LOOT RNA
About the family: Latescibacteria, OD1/Parcubacteria, OP11, TM7. Lineage (Microgenomates, aka OP11)
Source: Rfam by way of RNAcentral
CGCCUAAACCAGUAAUGCUGGCAUGGCUACAAAAUCCUACGCGAACAGAAACGGCCCCAUAGGCUGGCACUCUAUUCGCGUAGGUCAUGCUCCCGAAAGGGACAUGGGUAGUCUCCGAAAGGAGGUUGCC